GCCCGUUUUACCCGCGGGAAAGCCGAGGCCCGGUGCUGUAUUCUGCCGCCCAUUUUACCCGCGGGGAAGCUGAGGCCCAGUGCUGUUUAAUAUCUUACUCAUGUUCACUUGAUGAGAAAGUGACAGAUCUGAGACAAACCCAGUUCUAGAGGUUAUGACACCAGCCAUGGAAGAGCAGAGAGGCCAAUGAGGUGGGGAGGUUGGAAACAAAAGGCCUUCUCCACCCCAGCUUGACCAACCCAAAAGCUGGAAGGCAAGGAAGACCUAGAAAGGGACCAGCUUGACGAAGCUUCUGCUUUUGUGACUGUCUCCUAAUGUUUGAGAUUCCAAAUACGAUUUCUGUGGAGAAAACAAAAAAGGACUCUGUUUUUAAUUCAAAAGGGAGAAGUGAAAUUCUACCUCACUUUUUUAAAAGAAGAGCCUGGAAUUGGCCUAUCCGUCUUUUUCCCCGUUGGAUCACAGAGCAGAAAGGAAGCUAAGACCUCUAGUACAGUGUUCAAUGGAACUGGUGAGAAAAGACGUCCUUGCUGUGUUCCUGAUAUGAAGAGGAAAGCAGUCCUUCUCCAUUAAAUGCUGACAACAUGAGCCUCCCGUGGUCGGAACGGGCUUGUGAAGGCGGUGCUGGGGUGCACCAGGGCAGCAGCUACAGGAAGGGCUCCAUCCUGUGCUCAACCCUGGGGAUGCUGGACAGCUUUGAGGAGGUCACAGAACCAGGCCAGUGUUCGAACUCAGGAGCCGAAUGUGGAGCCUGUGCUCGUAGGUGUCGCUAAUUCCACUCCUGCUUCCUGUGUCCUGUAAGCUUAAGUGACAUGCUCCAGGCAGCGCUUAAUCUAGGGCGUCUGGAUUCCCACCCAGGCGUUUCAGACGCCCAAGCCCAGCCUCCUCGACUCAGCCAUGCUGCUAUGCCUCUGACUGUGGAUCCCAGGCCAAAGACAGAGGUUCUAACCCCCUUCUCCCCCAAGGUGGCUACCUUAGUUAACAGCUUUCUUGCCAUCUGCCCUUCCCAUCUCCACCCACCCCAAGUCCCUUCCUUUCUACCUGUGGAAUGUCUACUGGUCUCAGCCUCCUCCCCCGAGUGCCUCUUCCCUUCCAGCUGUCAUCAGGACCAUGUGACUCCUAGGACUCACUCUCUGCCUGCCCUACCUGCCCCCAACUACCUCUGCCACCUGCUGCUACCCUCCCCCAAUCCAUCCUGUCCAUGAAUACCAGGGCCUUUCUAAAGCAGUGAUGGAAGCUGAACACGCCCUGCUGGAAAGGCAGUGAUGGCUUCCCCUUAUCCUAACUCUGCAGCCUGGAUGUCACUUCCUCUCUGAAUCUCAUGGUCCAGCUCUUGUGGUGGGAGCUGCCUGGAGCUCCAUAGAAGGAUUCGAAGGCCAGGUCAGAGCUUCCUGGAGCCUAGGGCCAUGAUUGAUUAGUAAUGCCUCCAGGGCACAGGACGGGUAAGCAGGGGUGUGUUUACCAUCAAUCUCUCUCUCUGGCAACUUGUGGUCACUUGAGCAUACUAUAUGGUUUUGGGAGCCUGAGUUUUGAAUGUCCCUUUCAUUUCAUAGGAUAUUUUACCCUCUUUGGGUCACUUUGCAAACUCUUAAUUGUCCUUCAAGACUCUUCUCUGCAGAAGUCAAUCCUUUGAGGUUUUAACAGACCCCACGAGCCGUGUUAUCCCCAGUUGCUGCUAUAAACCCUUGGAUAUC
Homo sapiens (human) is the source of this 1691-nucleotide long non-coding RNA. Ensembl annotates it as MIR646 host gene. Its record names the gene MIR646HG. Lineage: Eukaryota; Metazoa; Chordata; Mammalia; Primates; Hominidae. The record is from Ensembl.